This 253-nucleotide ribosomal RNA is filed under the name uncultured bacterium. Its description in RNAcentral is "partial 16S ribosomal RNA". It matches the Rfam family "Bacterial small subunit ribosomal RNA", at positions 524 to 776 of the family's 1533-position model. The record is from RNAcentral.
UACGGGGGGGGCAAGCGUUGUUCGGAAUUACUGGGCGUAAAGGGCUCGUAGGUGGCCAACUAAGUCAGACGUGAAAUCCCUCGGCUUAACCGGGGAACUGCGUCUGAUACUGGAUGGCUUGAGUUUGGGAGAGGGACGCGGAAUUCCAGGUGUAGCGGUGAAAUGCGUAGAUAUCUGGAGGAACACCGGUGGCGAAGGCGGCAUCCUGGACCGGCAUUGACGCUGAGGCGCGAAAGCUAGGGGAGCAAACGGG